GGGGGUAUGGUGUAAUGGCAACAUCACUGACUCCAGAUCAGUGGCUGGAGGUUCAAUUCCUUCUACCCCCA
This 71-nucleotide transfer RNA is filed under the name Methanobrevibacter millerae. RNAcentral describes it as "tRNA_Trp_CCA". It matches the Rfam family "tRNA". From Rfam's summary of the family: Transfer RNA (tRNA) molecules are approximately 80 nucleotides in length. Their secondary structure includes four short double-helical elements and three loops (D, anti-codon, and T loops). The record is from RNAcentral. Lineage: Archaea; Methanobacteriati; Methanobacteriota; Methanobacteria; Methanobacteriales; Methanobacteriaceae.